This is a non-coding RNA of Mycena filopes, 96 nucleotides long. NCBI's taxonomy places the organism in Eukaryota, Fungi, Basidiomycota, Agaricomycetes, Agaricales, Mycenaceae. The record is from the annotation of a GenBank genome assembly.
GACUCGGUGGCGAAUGGUUUCGCAUCCACCAACGUUAUGUGUUGCAUAUUCAAGAAAUUCUCGUGAAAGUCGCCUGUUCGAAUCAGGCCCGAGUCC